CCCUUAGAUGUCCUGGGCGCACGCGCGUUACACUGAUGCAUUCAACGAGCUUAUAACCUUGGCCGAGAGGCCUGGGCAAUCUUGUUAACGUGCAUCGUGAUAGGGAUAGAUUAUUGAAAUUAUUAAUCUUGAACGAGGAAUUCCUAGUAAACGCAGAUCAUCAAUCUGCAUUGAUUACGUCCCUGCCCUUUGUACACACCGCCCGUCGCACCUACCGAUUGGAUGGUCCGGUGAAGCCUCGGGAUUGUGGUUCUUGCCGCUUUAUUGUGGCGUGACCGCGAGAACUUGUCUAAACCUUAUCAUCUAGAGGAAGGUGAAGUCGUAACA
RNAcentral lists this ribosomal RNA (327 nucleotides) under uncultured eukaryote. Its description in RNAcentral is "partial 18S ribosomal RNA". It matches the Rfam family "Eukaryotic small subunit ribosomal RNA", at positions 1470 to 1796 of the family's 1831-position model. The record is from RNAcentral.